GAUGAACGCUGGCGGCGUGCUUAACACAUGCAAGUCGAACGGAAAGGCCCAAGCUUGCUUGGGUACUCGAGUGGCGAACGGGUGAGUAACACGUGGGUGAUCUGCCCUGCACUUCGGGAUAAGCCUGGGAAACUGGGUCUAAUACCGGAUAGGACCACUUCUUGGAUGUUGUGGUGGAAAGUUUUUUCGUUGUGGGAUGAGCUCGCGGCCUAUCAGCUUGUUGGUGGGGUAAUGGCCUACCAAGGCGUCGGCGGGUAGCCGGCCUGAGAGGGUGUACGGCCACACUGGGACUGAGAGACGGCCCAGACUCCGACGGGAGGCAGAAGUGGGGAAUCUUGAACAAUGGGCGCAAGCCUGAUGCAGAGACGCCGCGGGGGGGAUGACGGUCUUAGGGUUGUAAACUCCUUUCGCUAGGGACGAAGCGUUUUGUGACGGUACCUGGAGAAGAAGCACCGGCUAACUACGUG
Molecule: ribosomal RNA, 467 nt
Filed under: uncultured bacterium
Lineage: Bacteria
Description: partial 16S ribosomal RNA
Rfam family: Bacterial small subunit ribosomal RNA
Source: RNAcentral